CUUUUCCCCGUCCCUUUGGUUCUGCCGCUCGCAGCCGGAUCUUGGCGGCGUCUCUUGGGCAGGAAAUCUCCCUUGCCUUCCCAAGGGGGACACGCUUCCAAAGAAGUGAGCGCGGGCCAUAGGAUGGGCGCGUAGGCAUUCCGCCACCGGGAAGGGCGGCUGAGUAUCGGCGGGAUGCCGUCCCUGGAGCCCGUUCGGCUGCCGGAGAACGAGGGGUGGACCAUUUCAGGAUUCUAGAGGCAGAACCGGUGCGAGAUACUCCGGGUAUAAGGUUCAAGCGAAAUUGCCCUUACCCAGAGAGUCCCUGCUUGAAAUCCUCUCCCCCCCCCCAAGGCUUAGUUUCGUAUGUGCCUUGUAGGCGUCUGUCAUUAUUGCAGGUGUAAAAAAAAGCCUCGCGGGAAUAUGUGGACCGACCUCCGUAAACUACCUGUGCGUGUGAGUGUUUCCUUCUAAGUGGUUCCCUCUGAGUGAUGCAGAGGACAUUGGACACCUGGGUGUUUGUAUAUAUUUAUUUCAGCAACUGAGAUGAAAAUCAGUCUAAUGCAACUCAGUCUGUGUGACUGAAAUGUUAGGAAUCCAUGAUCUUAUAGGGAAAAUACAUCUGUGAAGACACUUCUUCCACCCUUGCUCCAGUGCACUGAUGGGCCGGGAGACCGAUUGCUAAGUAUUGUGUGGCUCCUGCUUCUGUUUUGCUUGCUGCUGUUUGGUUUCCUGCAGCCCACUAUCCCACUUUGCUUAUUUUUCUGCAUUACCACCAAAACAAACAGCCUCUAUAAUUAAUUCUGGAGCUGGAAAAGGUACAGUUUGCUUUUCAUUUCUGCCUAGUCCCUCUUCCCCACUUUGCUUUACUGUUGUGCAUGAGUGAUCAAACAGCACAUAAUUUGGAAAGCCCAAGGACAGCAGAGAGGUUGGUUUUUGCACUUCAGUCUCACCAGGAGUCAUAGCCAAAAGGAAGAAAACAAAAUAACUAAAACUGCAAACUGCACAUGUACAGUCACCCCUGUAAUAUCUGGAAAUCAAAAUGUAAGAAUGGCAGAUUUCUUAGUGCUGCUCCACAAACAGUGGCAAGUAAUUUGAAAAUAUGAGAGACAUUCAGAUUGGGGGGGGGGAAGAGAAUUUGAAAUAUCUCUCAUGUUCCUGUUGUAACGUACUUGGAAAGCCUCUAAAUUGGAG
RNAcentral lists this long non-coding RNA (1173 nucleotides) under Pogona vitticeps (central bearded dragon). Its description in RNAcentral is "lncRNA (ENSPVIG00000002538.1)". Lineage: Eukaryota; Metazoa; Chordata; Lepidosauria; Squamata; Agamidae. The record is from RNAcentral.